RNAcentral lists this ribosomal RNA (305 nucleotides) under uncultured bacterium. Its description in RNAcentral is "partial 16S ribosomal RNA". It matches the Rfam family "Bacterial small subunit ribosomal RNA", at positions 508 to 809 of the family's 1533-position model. The record is from RNAcentral.
ACAGCAGUAGCCGCGGGAAUACAGAGGGUGCGAGCGUUAAUCGGAUUUACUGGGCGUAAAGCGUGCGUAGGCGGCUUUUUAAGUCGGAUGUGAAAUCCCUGAGCUUAACUUAGGAAUUGCAUUCGAUACUGGGAAGCUAGAGUAUGGGAGAGGAUGGUAGAAUUCCAGGUGUAGCGGUGAAAUGCGUAGAGAUCUGGAGGAAUACCGAUGGCGAAGGCAGCCAUCUGGCCUAAUACUGACGCUGAGGUACGAAAGCAUGGGGAGCAAACAGGAUUAGAUACCCGUGUAGUCCCUGUCUCUUAUAA